Molecule: ribosomal RNA, 253 nt
Filed under: uncultured bacterium
Lineage: Bacteria
Description: partial 16S ribosomal RNA
Rfam family: Bacterial small subunit ribosomal RNA
Source: RNAcentral
UACAUGGGGUGCAAACGUUGCUCGGAAUUAUUGGGCGUAAAGCGCACGUAGGCGGUUCGUUAAGUCGGAUGUGAAAGCCCUCGGCUCAACUGAGGAAGUGCACCCGAAACUGGCGAGCUUGAGUACGAAAGAGGAUCGCGGAAUUCCCGGUGUAGAGGUGAAAUUCGUAGAUAUUGGGAGGAACACCAGUGGCGAAGGCGGCUCACUGGACCGGUACUGACGCUGAGACGCGAAAGCGUGGGGAGCAAACAGG